UCCCUGGUGGUCUAGUGGCUAAGAUUCUGCACUUCCAAUGCCAGAGGCUCAGGUUUGAUCCCUAGUCAGGGAA
This 73-nucleotide transfer RNA is filed under the name Bos taurus (domestic cattle). It matches the Rfam family "tRNA". Rfam says of the family: Transfer RNA (tRNA) molecules are approximately 80 nucleotides in length. Lineage: Eukaryota; Metazoa; Chordata; Mammalia; Artiodactyla; Bovidae. The record is from Rfam by way of RNAcentral. RNAcentral also lists the same sequence under 2 other names.